AGCUUAAUAGUCAAAGCAUUGGUGUGUAAAGCCAAAGGCCCCGGGUUCGAUUCCCGG
This 57-nucleotide transfer RNA is filed under the name Agrilus planipennis (emerald ash borer). It matches the Rfam family "tRNA", at positions 9 to 63 of the family's 71-position model. From Rfam's summary of the family: Transfer RNA (tRNA) molecules are approximately 80 nucleotides in length. Their secondary structure includes four short double-helical elements and three loops (D, anti-codon, and T loops). Further hydrogen bonds mediate the characteristic L-shaped molecular structure. tRNAs have two regions of fundamental functional importance: the anti-codon, which is responsible for specific mRNA codon recognition, and the 3' end, to which the tRNAs corresponding amino acid is attached (by aminoacyl-tRNA synthetases). tRNAs cope with the degeneracy of the genetic code in two manners: having more than one tRNA (with a specific anti-codon) for a particular amino acid; and 'wobble' base-pairing, i.e. permitting non-standard base-pairing at the 3rd anti-codon position. Lineage: Eukaryota; Metazoa; Arthropoda; Insecta; Coleoptera; Buprestidae. The record is from Rfam by way of RNAcentral.